UGGAAUGUGGGAGGGGCAUGCG
Molecule: microRNA, 22 nt
Filed under: Mus musculus (house mouse)
Lineage: Eukaryota; Metazoa; Chordata; Mammalia; Rodentia; Muridae
Description: mmu-miR-6349
Source: miRBase by way of RNAcentral